UGUGUGUGGACUGACGAGGACGUCAGGGCCUUAACGGGGGGAAUCUGUCACACCCCAAUAGUCCCACAUCGGAUAGGAAUGGGGAUGUGAUUGGGUAUAUAAAGGACUUAGGCACUAGUAAUAAUAACUGGGCUUAAGCAUUUUGGGCCGGUGGUUAGGCCCAACAAGUUAUUAUUGCUAGUGGGCUGGGUCGUUACAUUUAAUUUUAUAAACCAAGAUAAUUGGUGGGUUCAAGAGAUUAGCUCUUGAGUCAAGGAUAGGAAUGUGAAAGGGUGUAAAUGGUUGGAAAGUACGGUAUACUUAUGAAUGGUUGUUGAAGGUUGGAAGGCAUUGAUGAAAGUCAACAUGCAUGCAUAAAAAAUUUUGGGCUAUGUGAGUUGCAUGAGGAUGUUACGAGAACACAUGUAAAAACAUAAU
RNAcentral lists this long non-coding RNA (417 nucleotides) under Ananas comosus (pineapple). Its description in RNAcentral is "long non-coding RNA (ACOM_LNC005063)". Lineage: Eukaryota; Viridiplantae; Streptophyta; Magnoliopsida; Poales; Bromeliaceae. The record is from RNAcentral.